UCAAUGUAGAAAUCCUCAGCGUACAGCAGAGCAGCAAAGUAGUCUUUGUAAGUCGAUGGAGACAAUGGCUUCUGCAAAACGUCAGGCACGAUGUCUUUCUUGAUCAAAUCUUCAAUAUCCUCAGGAAUCUUGUAAUUAGAGGCACCCUUCUCGACCAAUAUAUAGCGAUCAUUUUCCUGCUGAUAUUUUGAAUCAGGAGGAAGCCGAGAAAGGGUAGGCUGAGAAGAUGAAGGCGCCUUCUGAGACAAUGGAUUCUUCAAAUCUUCAGGCUCAAUAUCUUUCUUGAUCGGACUUUCAAUAUCCUUGGGAUAGUUAGCUUUCAUCUGGUCCUCCGUUGGAUUAAAGCAGAAUGGGCACCGAGUGGGCUUAGAGGACUGAGGGGCUUUUGGGAAUGAUGCGCCCUUCGGAACCCGUGUAUUAUUAGAUUUCAUCUGCUCAUUUGUUGGAUUAAAGCAGAGUGGACACUGAGUGGGCUUAGAGGACUCAGGGGUGCUCGGGGAUGAUGAAAUUGGCACGGAGGGAGAUUGAGAUGGACCACAUGAAGAUGGAGAUUGCUUAGCAGAUGAUCGAGGUUGAUCAGAAGUAAGGGGAGGUGCCACGGGUGUAGAGAACGAGGAGCAUGCUUUAGAAGAAGGAAUUGAAGGUUUAGGACUAGAAGAUGAUGGUGGAGGUUCAGUUGGAGAUACGGAUGGCUUAGAAGGAACUGAUGCAGGUUUAGGGAGUGAUGGCUUAGAGGAAAAUGGAGGUUGUGAUGUUCUAUAUUUCAAUCUCGAGGACGCUUCAUCAGUUCCUUCCAUAAACUUGUUAACAUAUUCUGAUUCAAUAGACACAGCUCCAUUCCUUUUUGUAGUUGAGCUACUAGUUGGUAAAUUCGGGUAAUAAUCGUAGUACUUGAUUUGGGUUCGAUCAGAUUGGUCUUGCCGAUCGUUAUUCUCAUAACUAGAAUUCCUAACAGAAGAGUUAAGUGAAGCUGAUCCGUGUGAAGGGUCUCCCUUCGAAGUCUUACUUUCAGUUCCAUGAUCUUGGUCGCUUGAAAUGUAUCGCAAAAUUUUACCUAACACAUACACUGCGCAGCCUAUGAACAUCCACUUAAACAUCCUGCGGCGAAAGCAAAAUAAAGAAGAUUGAACAGCAUUAAAGAAAUCAAUAAACUCAUGCAUGACGCUGUAAGUGCUAGUAAGAUGAAACUAUCCUGAAAUCAAAAUAAGUGAAGAUCAAAAGCACGAUUGAUUACCUCCUGGUUCUUUUGUUACAGAUGAGAAUACUGGAACACAAGUACACAAGUGGUUUUUCAGUUUAAUCUUCCUUUCCAAAGAACGACUUACACACAGUAUAAAAGGCACUCCAACACAACUAAAGAAUCCAGAAGUUAAAAGCUUUGCAUGGGAGAUGAAAGCAUAUUGUUUCUUGCAUAGAAAACUCAACCAAGUGAGGCCACGUCAUCAUGUGGACCCAGGUGCGGCAUAUAAAAAGAGUGGAUGAGAGUUGUCAGUAAGCUGAAAAAGUUUUUUUUUUUAAUUUAAAAAGAGUGCGGCAUAUAAAUUUUUUAAUUUUAUUUAACCUAUAAAAAGUUUUAAUUUAACAAGACUGAAAAAGGUUGGGAAAUUUACACCAAUAGCCAUAAAAAUUUUGACUUUUUUCAUCUUAACCCCCAAACAAACUUCUAUCAACAUUAGCCAUAAAAAAAUCUUUGAGACCAAAAUACCCCUCUCUCUCAUCUCCAUAAUGUUGGUGAGCUUGCCUUGGCGCAACAACUCGCCGAUUCUGUCAAGCCUUUAAAUCAGCCAUGGCGGCAGUAGAAACACGCUCCAUUUCGGAAAUGGCGUCGUCAGAGAUUUUGGACUCGGUUUCACUGACCUCGUAAUCUUCAAGAUCAGAGAAGCUCGCUCUGUCUCGGACUUCCCUACGUGGGCUGCCGGAAGAGCAUCUGUUGGAGCCCGUUGCCUGGAAGUGUUGGUGCGACAGGCGCCUGUCGCACCAAGUGUUGGUGCGACAGGCGCUUCGGAAAUGGCGUCGUCAGAGAUUUUGGACUCGGUUUCACUGACCUCGUAAUCUUCAAGAUCAGAGAAGCUCGCUCUGUCUCGGACUUCCCUACGUGGGCUGCCGGAAGAGCAUCUGUUGGAGCCCGUUGCCUGGAAGUGUUGGUGCGACAGGCGCCUGUCGCACCAAAACUUGGUGGUUCUUUCUACCCCUUGACCCUUCAGGCGAGUUCUCCCUCUCUUCCUUCUCCACCUUGACCACCACUCUGGAAGUGUCUUCCUUUUGUUCUGUAGAGAAACCGUAGCUUUCCAAAUCAAUAAUUAGUUGAUUACCAGUAGGAAGGAACUUGCUAGCUUCCUCCAUUCCUUUCUUGAACUGCAGGAUAGACUCCCUAUCACUAAGCAUGUUCUGAGCCAGAAACUCGUUCACAGAACUCAUCAACCCACUGCCAAUAGUAGUCAUGCUAUCUGGUGGGUUGACAGAAAAUUGCGAACUAUGCUGCUGUGAAUUGGACUUCGAAUGGUAAUCCUCAGGUAAAGGGUUUCGUAAAAAAGAGCCAUUAAAUUCUGCAGUAUCACCAACCAACAGUGAUUCGACAAAAUCACUGCCGCCGCUACUGGUGCUACUAACAGCACCAGAAUCACUAUUAAAAUCACUGCUAUUAUUAGAAAAUAUAUUGCUUUUCUCACCACUCCCGGAAUUCAGGUAGACAUAGGGUUGAGGUUGAUUAAGUGAUGGAGGAUAGUAUGGCUGCCGCUCACCAAGUACUUCAUACAACGAUCUCUCAGUGGCUUGUAAAGCCAACGGAUCAUAAAACAUACACGGCUUCUCCUCCAUUUUCUCUUCCAUGAGCAUCUGGCUUAUGUACUUGAGAACUGGGUUUGAAGAAUCACUGUCAUCCGAGGGAGAGGAAGCCUCUCCUUCCGGACUCCAGCCUGAGGACCGAGCAAAGGAGCUUCCAUCCGGGCUUAAACUCGUAGAGGCGCCCAAAGAUUCUAAGUCUGGACUCGCAGUUGAGGAUGGAGUGAUGAUACCAGGAUCAGGAUUAAGGGGAUUAAAAGGGAUAUCUAAAAAGUUUAGAUCAGGUGAGGGAAUAGUGAACUUGAAUCCAUUUUCAGUAUUUGAGUACUGAUUUGCAUUUGGUACAACGGUUUCAUCAUCAACUUUGAAACCACUAAUGAAAUCAGAAAACCGAUUGGAAUUUGGAUCCAUGGAAAUCGCAACAGCCAAAAGCCUCAACUCUAAAUCUAAGUUCAAAAUAAAAUAAUGGAGAUACAAAUGCAUGACGGUGACAAGCUGCUAAUUCAUAAACUGUGUACGUAUUUUGUGUAGGGUUUUGAGUUUUUUAAGUACGUACUAAAUUACUCUUAUAGGAAAUAUAUGGUUGUUGAUUGAUUAGGCUACUUAACUGCGUCUAACUAGCUAGGGCUCAAAGUAAUCCGACGCCGCCGACGAUGGGAGGUUCUUCGGUUUGGGAGAGAUGGGAGAAAGAGAGAUUGUUGGGGGAGAGAUGAGAGAGAGGGGUAUUUUGGUCUCAAAGGCUUUUUUAUGGCUAAUGUUGAUAGAAGUUUGUUUGGGGGGUUAAGAUGGAAAAAGCCAAAAUUUUUAUGGCUAUUGGUGUAAAUUUCCCAAAAAGGUUCCACUUCUAUACUGCCACACACGUCUCUUAUUCUUCCCCGGGUUAAUUAAUUAGAUGCCAACUUUUAAAUUAAGUCCAACCAAAAAGCUAAUUUUGUGGCAUGAUAUUCUCUCAUCCCAUAAUAUGCUUAUUCUGAUUAACCCUUUUGCGGUUCUUAAUCCUUAUUCCUUAACAAACGAACUAAAAGAUUCUAACAUCAAAACAUCAUUUCACCCAUUAAAAGACGCCUCCAAAAUCCAAAUCCAAUCUUGAUUAGGGAUGGUAAAUUGGUCCAUCCAAAUUAGAUAUCUAUAUAUCCAAUCUAAUUGAAUUGGAUAAUAUCCAUCCAAAAUUUUUUGGAUAUGGAUAUGGAUAUUUUUAAAAAUAUUCAAUUAGAUAUUGAAUGGGUAUAAAUAUUUAAUGGAUAUUCAAAAUCUAAUUAAUUUAUCUAUUUAAAGUUAAAAAAAUUUAUAUUGUUAAACUAAAAUAUAAAAAAAACAAAAUCUAAUUUUCUCUUAUAUUAACUAGUGAAAAAUUUAAAUUCCUCUUAUAUUAAAAACUAAAGUUUUCAAAAUUACCCUUUAAUUUUUUAACUUAUUUAAUACUAUUAAUAAUUAUUAUUUUAUUUUAUUGAUUUAAUAUUAUAAAUGGACCUCCACCGGAAAGUCGCCGGACCACCGUCGGUUUUGCCCGGAACGUCGCCGGACCGCCGCCACCGGCCACCGAACCACCAUUUUAUUUUUUUAUAUAUAUUAUUACUAAUAUAAAUAGUUUAAAAGCCAAAUUUGAUAUUGGAAUUUUAACUAUUUUAUUUUUAUAUAAUAAAAAUAAAAUAUCCAUGGAUCUCCAUAACUAUAUGGAUAAAAUCUAUAUCCAUAUCUAAUAUUAAAUAUUGGAUAUGAAUAUAUCCAUUAUGGAUAAUUAUAGAUUUGUGUUUGGAUGGAUAUUAUCCAUCCAUAAUUGAAUAUUUGUCAUCCCUAAUCUUGAUCGACAAGAUGAAUCUACUGGCAAAAGAUGCCUCCAAACCAAUAUUGGUGGUUAUGAUACUUCUACCGGAAAAAUCGAAGUAGUCAGCCCGCUCAAGCGCAUGAGUUCUAUUAUGAUAGUCAGAACAGAACUAAAAUGGAGACAGAAAAUGCAACGACCUGCACACAAUUUAUGAAGAUUUCAAUUUUUGUUGAUACAUGAGAAAGAAAACAUUCAAUCAUCAUGGAAUGCAUGAACUAGAUAGAGCAACAAGUACGAAAAUAACAAAUCAAUUAAUCUUGCAGUCAGACAAUUACAACAAGGCAUUGUACCAAAUUCACGAGAGGAAAACUAAGUUAUUUAGAGGUUGCUGUUGCUGCAAUAGCAGAUAAGAUUUACGACAACAGAAGGAUAAAAGAGUUCAUCUCAAAGUUUACACCAUUGUAAUGAACAUUGGGUCAGAACUGCUAUAGGCCUCGGUCACACGAAGUCUCUCAAAAUAUGACAUCCUUAACCAAUUAUUCCGAGCAAUAUCAGUGCAGAACCAACUUGUACUGUAAUAUCUCAAUUCUCUUAAUGGUAUUUUAGUCUUUUCAAUUUGUUAGUGAUAUUUGUAUUUUAGUAUAAAAAGAAUAAGAUGCUUUGUCUUUAUCAUUGAAGAGAGAGAAAGAGAUUGGCUAAAAAAAAGAAAGAAAGAAAGAAAGAAAGAAAGAAGAAGAGAAGAAGUCUUCUUCGUCGUAUAGCCAUAAGCAACACAUAAGAUUAAAGUUGUGUAAUUUGAAUUUGAUAUUAUGUUGGGAGAAGAUUGGAGGUAAAUUUUAAUUCUUGGUUUUUGUUAAUUUAUUAUGAAGAAGUAUGAUUAGAUAAUUGUAGUAGAAGUAGAAACUUAAAAUUUUACAGAAAAUAUGUUGACAAUGAGUUAUUUCGAAAAUCAUAGUAAUUUGUACAUAUUGAUUUUGAUUCUUGAUUUUGGAUAUAUUAAAUCAGACAUCUUCAAGAAUGUUUUGAAGUUUGUUUCGACCAAUCAUAUAAGAAUUCAAUUUAUUACGAUUUUUUUAACUCAAGUCCAAAAACUUGAGAAUUUCUAAUUUCAGUGAAGAACAUGAAUUACGAAACUAUUUUACCGUAGCUAUAUUUAUUAAAAAAUGAUGAAAUUUGGACUAGUGAUUUUUAUGUAUGUCUAGAGUGAUUUAGGAAAAUUUCAUCAUUUUAUGAUAAAACAAUAAAUUGUUUUGUAUUUUUAAAAGAAAUAUGUUCAAAACAGAAAACUAUUUGACAUAAUUGAUAAUGUUUGAAAUGUAAUUAUUGCAAAAGUUUUUGAAGGAAUUAAGCUAUGAAGGUUUAAGCAUUGAAUUUCUAUUAUGUCAGCAUAUGCCUUGUAAAAUUUGAUGAUAUUAGAGUUUAUGAUUAUAAUUUGAUUAUAUGUGAUCAGAGUUUUGUUAAUGAUUUUUAGGUCGAUUAUAUCAAUAUGCAUUUUUUAUAUGUGGAUGCCAAGACAUAAGUAAACUAAACUUCUAAAUGAAUCAUAAUAAACAAUAUGUACAUAUUUGAAAAUUUUUAAAAAUCUAUAUUUGAUAUGUACGGAUAUGAAUUUAUAUGAUUUUGCCUAUUUAUUUACGUGAUGUGUUGUUAUGUGUUUAGCGAAAUUAUGCGGACAGCAUAAAGUAUAUGCGAGAGUUCAUUGGCACAAGAAUGAAUAUGCAUUAAGUUUUGUAUGAAAUGAGAAAGUGGACAAUAUCUUUCUUGAUUAGACUUUCAAUAUCCUUAGGGAUCAUGUAAAUAGGUGAUGUCCCUUUUCUGAAUCCAUGUAUAUUUAGCUUUCUUCUAUUGAUUUGUUAGAUUAAAGCUGAGUGAAGAUAGAGUGGGCUUACAGGACUGAGGAGGUUUUUGGGAUGAUGAAGUUGGCAUGGAAGGAGAUUGAGAUAAGCCACAUAAAGAUGCAGUUGACUUAGAUGAUGAUCAAGGUUGAUCAGAAGUCGAUGAAGAUGCUACAGGUCUAUAGAAUAGUGAAGUUGCUGGUGAUCGAGGUUGACCAGAAGUGGACAUGCUGCAGGUCUAUAGAAUGGUGAAGACGCUGAGGAUCGAGGUUAAUCAGAACUAAGUGGAGAUGCUGCAGGUCUACAGAAUGAUGAAGAUGCCGAUGUUCGAGGUCGAUCAGAAGUAAGUGGAGAUGCUGCAGGCCUAGAGAAUGGUGAAGAAGCUGAUGAUCGAGGUUGAUCAGAACUAAGUGGAGAUGCUACAGGUCUAGAGAACGAUGAAGAUUCUGCAGGUCUAGAGAACGAUGAAGAUGCUUCAUUAUUCUCAAGACUAGAAUUCCUAACAGAAGUGUUGUAGGAAGGUGAUCCGAGUGAAGGGUCUAUCUCUGAAGUCUCAUUACUAGUUCCAUGAUCUUGGUCCUUGAAAAUGUACAGCAAAAUUUUGCCUAAUGCACACACACUGCCGGACAACAUCAACUUAUACGUCUUGGUGAGCAAGAAGAAACAAUGAAGUUACUGUGUAAUGCAUUUAAUCAAAUUGACAUUAUCCAAAUGAUGAAAAUCAGAAACUGAAGUUUCUCUGUAACCAAGAUUACUUAUAGUGGAAAUCAGGGGGGCCAAUUAGAGGAUAAAUGAACCCAUCAAAAUUUUGUUGAUUAGUAAUGUAAGAGAAUUUUAAACAUCAUUUGAUAAAAUUUAAGCAAUCAUACUGAACCAAAGUGCAUGAGAAAAUGUAAAAUCGUAUUAUAUUAGUACAAGUUAAUUGAAUGUUAAAAGUAUGUGGACAGAAGAUUAAGCUCCCCUAAAAACAGAAGAACUAGCAAUCAAAUAAAGCAUGCAUGACUCUAUGUUCAAGUAAGAUGAAACUCAAAACUAUUCUUCCCUAAGAUGAAAAGAUUUUAAUUCUUGAAAUAAAAAUUAAUGAAGAUCAAAUGCAAUAUAAUUACCAUUUGGUUCUUGAGCAGAUCAAGAAUGCUAGUAGUCAAGGAUCCGUUUUUUAUUUUUAUUUGUACUAAAGACAAUUUUUGUGAAAGCACUAAAGAAGAGUCCAAAGGCAAAGCACUUUACUGCAGGAGAAGACGAGGAAAAAAGUGUGUGUGUAUAUAUAAAUCCAUAUAGUAUGGACUAUGUCACAGAUUCUGUUUGUAAUAUAGCAAAUGGAAAGCUUGCACGCGUGUUGGAUGAGAGAGAAAAAGCUGCUGAUGCAAGGUCAUGCAAGCUUACCUUGCCAAAGCUGUUACUUGCAGAAGCCGCAACUUAGCCUCAUCCAUAUAUAUAGACACACACACGAGCAAAAUAUUUCUGGCUUUGAGUGAAAUAAACCCAGCCAAAGAGAGGAGUACCGAGACCACGUAAUUUCAACAAAAAGUGCAAGUGGGGCCGCGUACAUCUUCAUGUAGAUCCACAUGACUUGUUUUUCUCAUUUCAAAGACUUCAUUACAAAGUGCAACUUAUUCUUUGAAUGGAUAAUCAAUGAAUUCCGAUCAUAUUAAAAAAUAAAAAUAAGUAAAACCAGAACGCGCUUAGUUUAUUGUCACAGCGCCUCUUGCUUAGUGGUGUAUUAAUCAGCUUGUGUUUUAUGGGCUAAUUUUCUCGGUCAAUGAAUGAGAACAGUCUAAUCUUUGUAUAUAAACAGUAACAAGUAUUGAACUGUCUUGCAGAGGAAACGUUCUCGCAUCUACACAUACACAACGCAAGUAGUAACAACAUCAUGAGCAGCAAAUUAGUUACAGGAGAGGUUUCUGUUAGUUACUCCGCUACCAGACUGAUAUGGGGGAAUGGAAGAAAGCUAUCCGACUUCUUCUGUGAAAAGUUGAGAGAAGAACAUUGAGUUGCAACUCCUAUAUGCCUUGGUCAGACAAAGUCUUUCAAAAUACGACAUCUUUAAUCCAUUCUUCCUAGCAAUAUCCGAUCGAACCCUACUUGGACUGUUAUGGGGUGCACCAGUGACUAUUACUCUCGUGUUCUCGUUAGCCAAAUUACCAAGAACUAUCAUUGUCUCUGGCUCGGUGGCAGAUGAUGCGUCUAUGAGAAAAAUGUGACUAAAAUGCCCAGCAGUUAUUCCUUGAUUAUGAAGGCGAAAGCUACUCACAAAAGUUGAAGAUAUCACCUUAUAUUGCCUCAGUUCCUCAAGUGGAGGACAAGAAAAACACUCCCGUUCAACAAGUGAUACCUGAAAGAUUUCAUCUGAUACCCCAUCCACUUCUCUGAAUGCAGCAUUGGCUCGAAACAUUUCUGAUGCCGGAAUAUCCUUCAUCAAACAUUCCAUUAGCUUAUCACAAGUUCUGUUCCAAGGAGCACAUAUAAGAAUUCGACUCUUAGGCGAGCGCUGACGAAUUUGGAGCACUGCUUCUCGAACGACAUUUCCAGUUUUUGAAAGUACAAAAUUAUUACAGAGUGGACCCUCUAGAAGAUAAGGUGAUUGGCCCUCAAAGCUUAAUAUCUGAUGCACUGCAGAAUUGCUAUCCGAAUCAAGUUUAUAAUUGCUAUAAGGACAAAGUGAUGGGUAAGGGAUGCUCUUUCUGGAGGCACAAUCAGGAAAAACGUAGUUCCUGAAUAAAGAAUCUGAUGCAUCUGCAAUUGCUUCGUGAGCCCGUUUCAAACAGACUCUGUUGAAUGAGAAGCUAACAUCAUAUUUGUGGUUGGGUUGAUGCUGAGAAUGAAAAUCUUCUUCAAAUUCAACUAAAACAGUAGUCCACUUAACCACUCGAUAAAGGAAACCCUGGUCAGGAUUUGAGAACAUAAAUAUUCUGGAAAAGAUGGAAAUAUGAACAAACAACAAACAAAAUGAUUGAAUGAUGAUGACCUAGCUAGUUUUGAUGUUAUCAAUUUGUACCAAUCCUUUCAAGAUUAACCAGAUGGAAAAUGAUCCAGAUAUGUACAAAAAAUAGUUUCAAAGUUACAUGACCAGCAAAAUGCUAAGCUGACUGGGUGUCCUUGUGCGAAAUUAUAAUCUAUCUUAAAACAGAGCAUUUGUUCUUUAAUCUGAAGUUCAAACCAAAAAAAUGGUUGGUUACAUAAAAAUCGAAAGGAAUGGCCAAAUUAGAUGCCACUUAUACGUAAAAAGUUUAUGCACUUGAUCACUUGUAUGAAAUUCAAGAGAUAGUCUUGUUAACUUACCAGGGACUACAGAACAUGAAUCUGUCAGGUCCAGUUGUUGAGUUAGGAAUAAGUUUAAUUUUGAAAUUUUAUUUCUCCUUAUUUAUUUUGGCUAAUUGAUUUAGUUUUCAUCACUUAUUAGUAGCAGAUCUCUCUUCGGUUAGAAGUUGUAUUUUUGGUUCUUUGUUGGCUAAAAUAAAUAGGACUAAAACUACGUAUUUUAUUAUGAUUUUUAUUGAGAUAACAAAAAAUGGGUAUCUCCCUCACUUCUAUCCAUCUCUUUUUCCACACUUGGACUUUUCUCUCUACUCACUUUCACUAUUCUCUACAUUUUUUAUUUUUUCAUUCUCUAUCUUUCUUUUCAAUUUGGCUGAUAUGCACAUUUGUCACCAAAGCACAUCGAGAGAUUUUAUAAAUCAAAAGUUUGAAAGAUCAGGAUACUUACUUGAAACUUCUUGGAUUUGCCACCUGAACGUUGUGCAUAAACAAAAUCUCUAGAUAAAAGAAAGGGUCGCCUCUCAGGAACAGAAUCAAUUUCAAAGGCUACAAAGAGUUUAUCAUCCGUCUCAUCACUCUCCUCCAGAUUCUUGUUCUUGAGUGACUUAUCAUAUAUUGCAGCUUUAUGCAACUCCAAUGUGACAUUGAAUAACUGAAAACCGCUCCACUUCUGAUCACAAUGAAAGCCAAAAAAAUUAUCUAAAAAGUUAGAAAAGCAUGAAAAAUCUUUGAUGAAAGUUUUCAGUCCACAGCAACAUCUAAUCAUCUUAUUAUAAAAAUGUAAGCUUUGGAUAGAGAAGCUUGGAAGAAUACCUACAAGAAUAAAGAUAUGACAGAAUACAUAAAUACAAAUACAACUGAACUGCAUUCACUGAAUAAAAGCAUCUGUCCCAAUAAUUUGCGCCCAUGGGGAAUAAUCUAACCAAAAAAUAACAAUAAAGAAACAACUUACUAUUCAAAAUAUCAGAGUUUCCAAUCUUUUUAUUCAUCAUGCUAUCUUAUGUUAAGCAAAAGACGGUAAAUAGAUUUUGGAUUUCCUUCAGUUUGUUUUCGAACCUGACUGAAAUAUACCUCAAGCCAACACUCUAAAAAUCGUGUUCCUAAACAUUUCAGUUUUAGGAAAUUAGUGAUGUACAAAUUGCACCAAUCUUGUUAUAAUCUGAUGCAAACUAAUAAUUUUUCAGUGGUUUUACUAGGGGUUCUGCAAGUAACAUUAGUUGGGUAUGGAUGGCACCAUUCACUAUGAUAUAACCUAAAGAACUCUUUAAUAAUUUAUGCCGUUUGGUUCUAAAUUUCUUAUACGAACAGGUUAGAUAGAUUCUUCAAGAGGUCCCACAACACAUAAAUUUGAUUCAAUCCAACCUGUUGCCAGUUCAAAACAUAUCCCUUUCAACAGAGCUCCUUAGAAUUCUCAACAAUCUAACCCAUGACUCAACUUUGAUUUAUUGUAUUUGUAUGUACUAUUUAUUUUGAAAAUCUAUUCCAUUAACAUGAUGUACAAUUGCACAUAGAUGACUUCUUCCGAGACCAUUUUAAUUGCAGCAUAACCAUGAGCGAGUGGUAUUGCAUUAAUCACAAUAGAUAUGUCUUCAAUGAAAAGCAAGUAUAUACAUGAUAUGAUGGUAGAAAUGAGAUUAUCUCACAUGAAAUCAUGCAAUAAAGAAAAAUGGGGAUCAAAGGCAUCAUUUAUUAAUCACCUCUUCGUAGAAAUCCUCAGCAUAUAGCAACGCAGCAAAGUAAUCCUUGUAGGUAGAUGGAAGCAAUGGCUUCUUCAAAACUUCUGGCACAAUGUCUUUCUUGAUCAAAUCUUCAAUAUCCUUGGGAAUCUUGUAAUUAGUUGCGCCUUUCUGGACCCAUAUAAAGCUAGCCUUUUUCUGCUGAUUUGUUGAAUCAGUGGGGAGUGGAGAAAGCAUGGGCUUAGAAGAUGAGGAAGCCUUAUGGAACAAUGGAGAAGAUGGCUUCUUCAGAACUUCAUGCACAACUUCUUUCUUCAUGAAAUUUUCAUUAUUCUUGGGAGUCAUGUAAACAGGUAAUGUGCCCUUCUGAACCCAUGUGUCAUUUCCUUUUGUUUGUUGAUUUGUUGAAUCACUGGGGAGGGGAGAAGGAGUAGGAUUAGAAGAUGAAGGGGACUUAUGGGAUGAUGGAUAAGAUGGCUUCGUCAAAACUUCAGGCAUAGCUUCUUUCUUCAUCAAAUUUUCAUUAUUCUUAUGAGUAAAGUAAACAGGCGAUGUGCCCCUCUGAACCCAUACACGGUUUCCUUUUGUUUGUUGAUUAGUACAAUCAUUAGGCACUGGAGAAAGAGCAGGCUUCAAAGAUGAAGGGGUCUUCUGGGACAAAGGAGAAGAUGGCUUCUUCAAAACUUCAGGGGCAGCUUCUUUCUUCAUCAAAUUUUCAUUAUUCUUGGGAGGCAUGUAAACAGAUGAUGAGCCCUCCUGAACCCAUAUAUCCAACAACAAGAAUAUACAACAGAUGAUGGUAGAAAUGAAUAUGUAUUGCAUGAAAUCAAACAAUAAAGUAAAUCAGGAAGAAAGGACAUAAGUAAUUAAUCACCACAUGGUAGAAAUCCUCGGCAUAUGGCAGUGCAGCAAAGUAAUCUUUGUAGGUAGAUGGAGACAACGGCUUCUUCAAAACGUUAGGCACAACGUCUUUCCUACUCAAAUCUUCAAUAUCCUUAGGAAUCUUGUAAUUGGAUGAGCCCUUCUCGACCAAUAAACAGCUAUCCUUUUCCUGCUGGUUUGUUGAAUUAGGGGGGAGGGGAGCAAGGGUAGGCUGAGAAGAUGGAGGAGCCUUCUGCAACAAUGGCUUAUUCAAAACCUUAGGUGCAGUGUCAUUCUUUGUCGAAGUAGAACCAGAUGAAGAUUGAGAUGAUUUAAAGGGAGAAAGAGAUUCAGGUGGCUUAGCAGUUAAUUGAUGUUGAUCAUAAUUAAAUGAAUGUGGUUUGAGUGAUGAUAAAGACUGACUAAGAGCAGACGAUGCAGGGCUAGACAAUGAUGAAGAUGCUUUUGAAGAAGGAAUUGCAGGUUUAGGGAAUGAUGAAGAUGAAUUGCUGGAAGAUGAUGGAGCGGGUCCUUUCGGUGAUAGAAAUGGCUUAGAUGAAGCAGAUGCAGGGUUAGGGAAUGAUGACAAUUGUGUUAAGGACUGUGAUUUAUUAGGUGAUGAUGAACAUGUGUAACAGGAGGAUGAAGGUGGUGAUGGUCUUGAGCUCUUUAAACUCUGAGACACUUCAUUAUUCCCUUUCAGUGACGAUUUGUCACCAUAUUCUGUUUGUUGUGACAUAGCAUUAGGCUGCUUUGUAGUUGGCUCACUAAUUGACACAUUCGGAUAAUAUUCGUAGUAAUAGAUUUUGUUUGAAUCAUGUUGACGCAGAAGAUCGUGAUUAGUAAAGCUAGAAUUCCUGACAGAAGAGUUGUGAUAACUAGAAUUCCUGACAGAAGAGUUGUGAUUAUAUGUUCCAAGUAAUCUCGCCUGGUAGUCCCUUUCAGUAUCAUGAUAAUCUUCAUCGUAACAGCAAAAAAUGCAUCUCAAAAUUUUAACGAGCACAGACAUGUUGCUCUGCAACCAAAGAACAUCCAUUUAUACAUCUUUCCUCUAUUUGGUUUUAUCAAGAAUACAAAUAAACAAUAAUAAUAAUCAGCUGCACUGAGUACAUCUCUAUGAAAUCUAAUUAACUCUACAGUCUGUUUUUAACCAAGACAACUAAAAAUCAAGGAAUAAUUAGAGGAUCAGGCAUAUAAAUUAAAUCAAACAUGCAAAUCAAUUUAUGUUUAGAGAGAGAUGCAGAGAGUGAUAAUUUGAAUCCCUAUAGUUCAUUUGAUGAGAAAUCUUAGGGUUGAAGUUUGUAACAAUGAAUAGAUGAACUUAAUUACACCAAAGAAAGUAAUUAUCAUUCUGAAACUAAAUGAAUGAGAGAAGUCUUCGUCUUUGUUACACAAUUAAAAAUGAUAAGUCUGAACAAGAAAGAGACUGCAUGUUGUUGAAAUGUUAAAAGUAAAUUGAACCCCAUUAAACACUAGAAGCUAUGACUAAUCUAUGCACGACUGUAACCAUAGGCAAAGAUUAUAAACAAUGUUGACAUCAAAGUAAAUGAAGAUCAAAUGGAAGAAGGAUUACCUUCUGGCUGUUGUGCAGAUGUGGGAUUAUGGGGAUGAUUGUCGGAUCAGUUUUUCUGACUUUAUGUUCUUCAAAGAACUCGGUGACAGUGAAAGUGAAGCACUUCAAAAGCCAUGGAUGAGUAGGCAGGAAAAAGAAGAGCUCGUACGUUUCUAGUAUUAUACAAACCCAACCACGUAUCGCCACGUCAUCACUUGCGCCCGCGACAAGGGCUUUAAUGACUAGAUGAGAUGAGACAGUGAAAGCUGACCAAAGCGGAAAUUUUGCGGAGUCCGGGGUUCCAAAUUUCCAUUUCCCACCAAUAAAGCAAUAAAUGUAUUAUUAUAUUUACAAUCAAAAAGAUUAAAAAUAAGCGAGCGUUCAUAUUUUGAGAGAUUUUUCAUUCUUGGGCUUUUAGUGCGAGCGUACGAGGUUCCCCUUCCCACGUGACUUAUUCUUUUAACGGAUAUUAGUGAAUUCCGUUCAUAUUUAAAAAUAAAAAUAAGCAAAACCAGAACGCGCUUAGUUGAUAUUGUCACUGCGCCUCUUGCUUAGCGGUGUAUUCAUCGGCUUGAAUUUUAUGGGCUAAUUUUCUUUGACAACGGAUAAGAACGGUCUAAUCUUUGUAUAUAAGGAAUUGCAAACAGCUGUCACAACCUUAAAUAGAUAAAAGAGUAACGAGUAUUGAACUAUCUUACAGAGAAAAUGUUCUCGCAUCCACACAUACAUACACGAGGCAAGUAGUAACAACAUCAUGAGCAGCAGCAAAUUAGUUACAGGAGAGGUUUCUGUUAGAUACCUCCACUAGCAGAUUGAUAUGGAUGAAUGGAAGAAAACUAUCGGAUUUAUUCUGUGGAAGUUGACAGCCGCAAAUAGAAACAUUGGAUGGAAACUCGUAUAUGCCUCGGAAAAACAAAGUCUUUCAAAAUAUACCAUCUCUAAUCCAUUCUUCUUAUCAAUAUGAGAUCGGAUCCAACGUGGAUGGUCAUAGGAAGCACCAGAGACUAUUACAGUCGUGUUCUCAUUUGCCAAAUUACUGAGAACUAUCAGUGCAUCUGGCUCGAUGGUAGACGAUGCAUCAACAAGAAAAAUGUGAGUAAAAUGUCCAGCAGUAAUGCCUUUAUUGACCAAUGGCAAUGGAGUUUUCUUAAGUGGCUUGACUGGGUUUGCUCCCCAGUUCGAGUCGCAGGGAAGUCGCCUUUGUUGGGAGAACAUGUGCCUCUCGGUUCGAGUAGGGACUUCUAAUCUGGGUUGUGGUACAGGCUUAAAGGUGUCUCCCACAGUUGGGACCCUCCCCAUAAUAGCUCAUGGUUAAGAAAAAAAAAAAAAAAAGGUAAUGCCUUUAUUGUGAAGGCGAAAGCUACUCGCAAAAGUUGAAGAUAUCACCCUGUAUUGUCUCAGUUGCUCAAGUGGAGGACAAGAAAAACACUCCCCUUCAACACCUGGAAGAUGUCAUCUGUUACCUCAUCCAUUUCUCUAAAUGCUAUUUAGAACAUUUGUCAUUGGAUGUUGUUUUGGUGGUUUUAGAAAUUAGAUUGAUAAAAUGCAGUUCCACUUCAAUUUCACCGUAGUAUCUUGUUAGUCGAAUUGGGGUGUUACAACAUUGGCCUGAAACAUAUCUGACUCUGGAAUAACCUUCGUCAAAGUUUUCAUUAGCACAUCACAUGUUCUGUUUGAAUGAGCACAUAUGAGAAUUCGACUAUUUGGUAACCUCUGACAAAUUUGGAGCACUGCUUCUCGAACAACAUUUCCAGUUUUUUGAAAGUACGUACUCAAAUACGUCUUCAUCUUGUAAUUCAUUUUUUCUUUCUAGUCACACACAGUGGAUCCUCCACAAGAUAAGGUGGCUGGCCCUAGGGCCGGCUUUACAAUAUUAGGGGCCUUAGGCGAACUCUUUUUUUUUUUUUUUUUUUAAUGAGGUCUCUUUUUAUUUAGUAAUUUCAAUACUCAAUAAAAUAAUAAAGAAUUGAAAAUUCAUUUCAGUUUUUAUUCUUGAAUUUCAACAAAUAAUCAAGAAGAUUAUAAAAAUUUUCAAAAACAAAAUCUAAAAUUUACCAUUAGAAAUUAUACAAAAAGAAGCAAACGAAUAAAUGAUAACAAUACUAUUUUUAAAUAAAAUAUUUAGAAUGGUAACACAUAAAAAGUUGAAAUCAUGAAUUAAUUGUUAGAUAAUGGAUAUGGACUUUGUAUUUCAAGUAACUAUUUUUUUCUUUUUCUUUUUCUUUUUUGAAUGAACUAAUGCAUGUAAUAAUCUUCAUUGUAGAGAAGAGAACAAGAAAUUUUUCAUCUAUAAUUUUCUAGAUUAUAAGAUUGUUAGUAGAAAUUAAAAGGAAUACUCAAAGUCAAAGAUUCUAAUGUUGAAUAAUUGAGCUUUUUUAAGAAGUUGAAAAGAUAAAAAAUUUACUUAUUUUUAUUAGAAAAACUAAUAAUGAAUAAAUUAAUGGUUAGACAAUAUUAUUAAUUAUAUCUCUUUAACAAUAAGAUAACCAAUUAUAGGUUUUUAUAUAAAAUAAUAAUAAUUAUUAAUUAUAUGAUAAUUAUUAAUUAGAGAUAUGUCUAAUAGGCUUUUCUACCACACAUAAUUUUUUUAAAAGAUUUUUAUUAACUAGAGAAUUAUUAUUAAUACUAAAAAACUGAAGUCUUUUUAAAAUUUGAAACUUUAGGUGACUGCUUUGUUCGCCUAUAUUUAAAGCCACCCAUGACUGGCCCUGUAAGCUCAAUGUCUGACCGCUGACGCACUGCAGAAUUGCCAUCCAAAUCAAGUUUACAAUUGCCGUAAAAGUGAGGUUCUGACGAAGGUAUAUGUUUACGACAGGCAAAAACAGGGAAAAGGCAGUUCUGGAAUAACUGAUCUGACACAGCUGCAGUUGACUGGUGAGCCCGUUUCAAACACUCUGUUGAAUGAGAAGCUAAUAUCAUAUUUGCAGUUCUGUUGGUGCUGAGAAUAAAAUUCCUUUUUCAAAUUCAACCAACACGGUAGUACCCUUCACCACUCGACAAAGAAUACCCCGGUCAGGUAUUCUGGAAAAGAUGGAGGUAUGAAACCAUAAAACAAAAUGACUAAGUCCAAGCUACAUUACAUGUUACCACUUUGUACAAAUUCAAUCGAGAUUAACCAGAUGGAAAUGGGUCUCAAACGUAGAAAAAUUAGUUUCCAAAUUGCAUGACUGGAAAAAGAUCAAAUAAUUUCUAUCAAGGAAAUAUCAAUCAGGCUUAGUUUGGCUCGUCACUAAACUCAAUGGAUGUCCUUGUGCAAAAAUUAUAAUAUGUUCUUAAACAGUGCAUUUGUUCCUCAACUGAAGUUCAAACUGAAAAAUAAUGGUUGGAUUGAUAAAAUUUGAAUGAAACGGCCAUAUAAGGUCAGACUUCAAUGUGUGGUCAUGUAAAAAAUUUAUGCACUUACUCACUUGUAUGAAAAAUCUAGCAGAAGUUUAUGUUGAUUUGUUAGGAUGCCACACACAACAAUUAAAUUAUAAUCUGUCAGGUUCAGUCGCUUCCAUCAAAAUGACACAAUGAUGUAGAAUGAAGUUAUAUAGAUUUAGGAAAUGCUGAAUAAGGAGUUACCUUGGUUGAUUUAUUUUUUCAUCAUGUAUUACUAGUAGAUUUUGUUUUUGCUAAGAAGUUGAUUAUGGUCUGCCAUUAUUAGUUAUCUGUUGGCCACAAUAAUAGGGCAUUAAUUUUUGUUUUAUAAAUGAUAGUUAUUGGAAUAAUGAAAAAUGGGUAUCUCCCUUUCUUCUCUCUAUUUCUUUUUCCACUUAUGGGCUCUUUUUUCUACUCUAUCACUAAUCUCUCCUUUCUUAUUGUCCUACCUCACGCUCCCAUUCUUACAAGAAGUGUGAAAUUAGCAGGCUUUCAAAAUUCGAAUGGCAUUGUUAAAAUUUUAUUUUGAAAUGUGUAACUAUAAUAUUACUACAAAAAUUUCAAAAUUUAGGGAGAAAGAGGCAUAAAAUAGAAUUUUCAAUUUGGCUUAUAUGCAAAUCAACCACACUAAAGCACGGCAAGAGAUUCUACAAAUUAUAUGUUGGUGAGAUAAGGAGACUUACUUGAAACUUCCUUGAUAUUCCACCUGAACAUUGUGCAUAAACAAAAUCCCUAGAUAAGAGAAAUGGCCGUUUCCCAGGAACAGAAUCAAUUUCGAAGGUUACAAAGAAUCUAACAUCUUUCUUAUCAUGCUUCUUCAAAUGCUUGUUCUUGAGUGACUUAGCAUAUAGAGUAGCUUCACCUAAUUCCAACGUUACAUUCAAUAGCUGAAAAUUUCUCCACUUCUGAUCAAAUCAAAGACAUAAAAUACAAGUAAAGUUCCUACAGAGAAGCACAAAUAAAGAUAUGGGAAAAACACAUAAAUACAAGUACAAUUGGACCCAUUUAAGAAGGGAAAAUGAAAAUGCAUCUGUCCCACCCUUAUUUUUAUAUCUUAUGUGAAAGAAUUUAUAUUCAGUUGUUAUGACCCAACCCAAACUUGGCAAAAUAUUGUCCGUUUUGGGCCUUAAUAAGGCCCGUAUGGUUUUGUUCCUGGGGUGCCCAUACACCCCAAAACGCGUUUUGCCAAUUAAUGUGUAGAUCACCCCUUAUAUACCCAACAUCUCUCCCGUGCUUUGCUAAUGUGAGAUUUGCCUAGGGUGCACAUCAGUAGUUUGUUUCUCCACAGAAUCAUCUGGGCAAAAUAUAAGAAUUAAAAAAAAAUACUGGUCACAAUAUCUGAAAUUUGUAAUUAUUUGUAUUUAUCAUGUCAUCUCAUGUAAAUUAAAAUGCAGUAAAAUAUCAAAGUAUAUAGAAAGUCUAAAGCAACUAUGGAUUAUGGAUGUCCCGCAAUUUGUUUUCCCACCUGAGUGAAGCAAACCCCAAUCCAACACUCUCCAAAUUAUGUUUCUAAACAUUUCACUAUUUCAGUCACUUGUAUUAAUAUAAUUAAGGAAAAUAAGUGAUGAGCAAAUAGCACCAAUCUUGUUAAUAUGAUCUGAUACACUGUAAUAAUUUCUCAUUGGUUUUUCAAGGGGUUCUGUAAGGAAACUAGUUGGGCGUGGAUAGCGCCAUUCUUUGUAAAAUAAUAUAAUCCAUUCUAAUAAUCUCUGCUGUUUGGUUCUAUUUCUUACACGGACGGGUUAGAUAGAUUCUUUAAGAGGUCCCAGAAUAACGGAAAUCUGGCUUAAUACAACCUGCUACCAGCCCAAAUCAUAUCCUUUCUAACAGAGCUCCCUAGAUUUUUUAAUGCUCCCAUGCGUCAACUUUGAUUCAUUGUAAAUUGUACUAGCUAUUUUGAAAUCUUUUCCAUAACUAUGAUGUACAUAGAUUACUUAAUCAGAAACCAUCUUAAUUGCAGCAUAACCAUGAGUGAGUGGUACGGCAUUAAUCAGAACAAAUAUGUCUUCAAUGAAAAGAAAUUAUAUACAACAUAUGAUAGUAGAAGUGAGGUUGUAUCGCGUGAAAUCAGACAAUAAAGUAAAACAGGAAGAAAGGGCAUAAUUAAUUAGUCACCUCAUAGUAGAAAUCCUCGGCAUAUAGCCGUGCAGCAAAGUAAUCUUUGUGGGUAGAGGGAGACAAUGGCUUCUUCAAAGCGUCAGGCACAAUGUCUUUCUUAACCAAAUCUUCAAUAUCCUUAGGAAUCUUGUAAUUGGAUGCGCCCUUCUCAACCAAUAAAUAGCUAUCAUUUUUCUGCUGAUUUGUUGAAUCAGAAGGGAAUGGAGAAAGGGUAGGCUGAGAAGAUGAAGGAGCCUUCUGAGACAAUGGCUUCUUCAAAACUUUAGGCGCUGCGUCUUUCGUUGUCAAAGUAGAACCAGAUAGAGAUUGAGAGGAUUUACGGGGAGAUGGAGAUGCUGGUGGCUUAGCACGUAAUUGAUGUUGUUCAGAAUUAAAUGAAGGUGGUUUAGGUGAUGAUAAAGAUUGACUGAGAGCAGACAGUGCAGGGUUAGAUAACGACAAAGAUGCUUGGGAUGAAGGAUGCAGGUUAUGAAGUGCUAGAAGAUGACGGUGGGGGCCCUUUUGGUGAUAGAAAUGGCGUAGACAAAGCAGAUGCAGGUUCGGGGAAUGAUGACAGUUGCGUUAAGGACUGUGAUUUAUUAGGUGAUGAUGAACAUGUGUAAUAGGAGGAUGAAGGUGGUGGUGGUCUUGAGCUCUUCAAACUGAGACUCUUCAUUAUUCCCUUUCAGUGACGACUUGUUACCAUAUUCGGAUUGCUGUGACAUAGCAUUAGGCUGCUGUGUAGUUUGUUUACUAAUUGAUACAUGCGGGUAAUAUCCAUAGUAAUAGAAUUUGCUUGGAUCAUCUCGACGCAGUAGAUCGUGGUUAGUAAAACUAGAAUUCCUGAGAGAAGUGUUGUGAUUCGAUGUUCCGAGUAGAGAGUUUGUCUCCCAGGAGCCCUUUCAGUUUCAUGACAAUCUUUAUUGGAACAGCAAAGAAUGCAUCUCAAAAUUUCAACGAACACAGACAUGCUGUUCUGCAACCAAAGAACAUCCAUUUAUGCAUCUUUCCUUUAUUUGGUUUUAUCAAAAAUAUAACAAUAAUCAGCCGCACUGAGUAGAGCUCUAUAAAAUCUAAUUAACUCCACAGUCUAGGCAAGUAACAAUCAAGGAAUAAUUAGAGGAUCAGGCAUAUUAGUUAAAUCAACAGCAAAUCAAUUUAUGUUUAGAGAGAGAUGCAGAGAGUGAUAGUUUGAAUCCCUAUAGUUCAUUUGAUGAGAAAUCUUAGGGUUGAAGUUUGUAACAAUCAAUAGAUAAACUUAAUUAAACCAAUGUAAGUAAUUAUCAUUCUGAAACUAAAUGAAUGAGAGAACUCUGUGUACUUGUUAGACAAUUAAAAAUAAUAAAUCUGAACAAGAGACUGCAUGUUGUUGAAAUGUUAAAAGUAUUUUACACCCCAUUAAAUACUAAAAGCUAUGACCAAGCAAUACACGAAUGUAAGCGGAGGCCAAGAUUAUAAACGAUGUUGACAUCAAAGUAAAUGAAGAUCAAAUGGAAGAAGGGCUACCUUCUGGCUGUUGUGCCGGAUUGUCGAGAUGACUAAUAAUCCAGAGAUGGAGUACUGUGACCUGUAUACAAUCUAUGAAGACUUUAAUUUUGGUUAAUCUAUGAAAAUGAAAACAAUCAAUCAUCAUGGAAUUGGACUGCAUGAAUUAGAUAGAGCAAUAAGUGCAAAAGCAACAGAUCAAAGAAAUGUUCUUACAUUCACACAUUUACAACCAGGCACAGUAGUAACAAAUUCAUGGAAGUAAACUAAGUUACAACAGAGGUUAUUGUUACUGCAGUACUCAAAGUUUACAGCAUAGUAAUGAACAUUGGAUUGAAAUUGCUAUAGGUCUUGGUGGCAUGAAGUCUUUCAAAAUAUGACACCCUUAAUCCAUUCUUCCUAGCAAUAUCGGAGCGGACCCAACUCGUACGGUUAUUAGGAGCACCGGUGAGUAUCAUGGUCGUGUUCUCAUUAGCCAAAUUUGUGAGAGCUAUCAUUGUCUCUGGCUCAGUAGCAGAUGAGGCAUCAAGAAGAAAAAUGUGACUAAAAUGCCCAGCAGGUAUGCCCUCGUUGUGAAGGCGAAAGCUGCUUGUAAAAGUUGAGAAUAUUACCCUGAAUUGCAUCAAUUCCUGAAGUGAAGGCAAUUGAAAACACUCCCCCCCUUCAUAAAGGCACAAGGGGAGGAUGUCAACUGGUACCCCAUCUACCUCUCUGAAUGCAGCGUUGGCUCGAAACAUAUCAGACUUUGGAAUCUUCUUCUUCAAACUUCUCAUUAAUACAUCACCUGUUCUAUUUAUAGGAGCACAGACUAGAAUUCGACACUUAGAUGACCUCUUAUAAAUUUCAAGUACUGCUUCUCGAACAACCAAUCCAGUUUUCGAUAGAUUGUCACUAGUUGCACAGAGUGGACCCUCUACAAGAUAAGGUGGCCUCCCAUGUAAGCUUAGGAUCCGACGAACUGCAGAGUUGCCAUCUGAGUCAAGGUUACGAUUACCAAAAAGACAAGUUUCUGAGGAACUGAUGUUCUUUCUAGUGGUAAAAUCAGGAAACAGGUAGUUCUCAAAUAAAGAACGUGAUGCAGCUGCAAUUGCUUGGUGAGCUCGUUUCAAACAGACUCGGUUGAAUGAGAAGCUAAUAUCGUAUCUGUACUUUGGAUGAUGCAGUGAAUAAAAAUCUUCUUCAAACUCAACCAACACUACGUUGCUCUUCACCACCCGGUAAAGAAUACCCUGGACAGGAUUUGAGAAAACAAAUAUUCGGAAAAUUAAGGAGAUAUUUUCCGAAGAUAUUCAACCAGAAAAACAAAAUGUCUGGAUAUCCAAGGACUAGGUGACACAUUACAUUUAACUUUAUAUGGAUUCUUUCAGGAUUAACCAGCUGCUAAUCAAUGAACACUUUCUCUCUGCAUUACAUGACUGGGAAAAGAUAAAAUGAAUUCUAAAAAGGAAAUAAUAUUGUUGGCUGAUGUUUUCUCAAGUCGCUAAACAGACUGGAUUUCCUUGAAAAAGAACUAUAACCUGAUCUCGCACACCCACCUAUUGUUCCUCAUCUGAAGUUCAAACUGAGCAAUAGUUUGCAUGUAGAAGCCUUUAAUUCAAAUUAUUUAGUCAAACAUGCCUAGUAUUAUAGAAACCUUAUUAUAAAACUAGUAGAUGAUUAAGCAUGCAUUGCAACAUUUUUAUACUGGGUUCCUCCCUCUUCUCUAAUCUUUGUCCUUUUGACAGUCUUCUCUCAUCACACUCCCUUCCCAACUAGAAGUUUGAAUUAAGUAGUAUUUUCAGAAGUUCAAAUGGCAUAAUUUAUAAAUUAUAUUGAUAGCUGCAACUAGAAUUAUAUUCCAAAAAUUUGAUAGCAUAGGGAGAAAGAAGCAUAUAAUAGAUUCUCAAUUUGGCAGAAGAUAUGAAUAUCUAUCACUAAAAGAGAUUCUACAAAUUAUUAGUUUGAAAGCUCACGACACUUACUUGAAACUCCUUGGCGUUGCUGCCCGAACGUCGUGCGUGGACAAAAUCUCUAGAUAAUAGAAAUGGUCGUCUCUCAGGAACAGAAUCAAUUUCAAAGGCUACAAAGAGUUUAUCAUCCUUCUCAUCACUUUCCUUCAGAUUCUUGUUCUUGAGUGAUUUAUCAUAUAUUGCAGCUUUAUGCACCUCCAAUGUGACAUUGAAUAACUGAAAACCGCUCCACUUCUGAUCAAAUCAAAGCCAUUAUUACAUCUAAACACAAUUAGGAAGUAUGAAAGAAAGAACUUUGAUGAAACUGUAAUGUUUUUGGUCCGUAGAUGCAUCUUGCAUUCAAUCAUCUACAACAUAUAAGAUUCCUAUAAAUCACUUUUAAAUCUAAACAGGCUUGUCUCGAGAAGCCUAGUUGGUAAAUCUAACGAAAAACUGAGACAAAGAUAUAAAAUAUAAAUUUAUGUAUCUCCAGCAAAACAUGUUUGAUGGUUGCUAAAUAGAGCACCCACAUGAUGUUUUAUCGGAUACAAGGUAAACUAACAUUGCAAAGGGGAUAGUACUGCACUAAACACAAAAAAAGUAUCUUCCACUUAACAGCCACAGUACACAAUAUACAAUUGGUAGCAAAGAAGUUAUAUGUAUAUGUAUAUGUAUGUGUAUGUGUAUGUGUAUGUGUAUGUGUAUGUGUAUGUGUAUGUGUAUGUGUAUGUGUAUGUGUAUGUGUAUGUGUAUGUAAAUAGAUAUACAUGUACAUUAGGGUUCUAUCAUUUUGAGGUCACCCAUGAGGAGACCAAGAAUUAAGUGAUCAAUUUUGAGUGGAAUGAUAUAAUAUCCUAAGAUAUUAAGUGAUCACUGAGUAGAAGAUGACUCCAACAAUAGUUUAACUUUAUUUAGUGAUGAUUCACUACUCUUGGAAUGCUAUAAAUAGAGAGUAAAUCCAUGGAGAAAGGUACAAGAGACAAGCUAGGGACAAGCCAUUGAGCUAAAGAGUUGAGAGAAUUCGAGCCAAGAGAAGCUUAGAGGGUUCUUGCAACGUGAUCUGCGGGGAUUUUCCAGCUUUGUGAUCAUCCUCUAACCAGAAUUCAGUAGCACAACCUUGAUUUGUCGAUUUUUCGCACAUAAUCCGAGUAUGUAUCUAAAUUCAGAUUUUAUGAGUUUUACGUUGAUAUAUAUUUUUUUUUGAAAAUGAGUUUUAUGUUGGUUCUAGCUUGAAAAUAAACACACACAAAAUGAUAAUAUAGAUAACAACAUGCAAAAAGGUCACUGUUAAUUAAUCACCUCAAUGUAGAAAUCCUCAGCGUACAACAGAGCAGCAAAGUAGUCUUUGUAAGUCGACGGAGACAAUGGCUUCUUCAAAACGUCAGGCACAAUGUCUUUCUUAACCAAAUCUUCAACAUCCUUAGGAAUCUUGUAAUUGGAUGCGCCCUUCUCAACCAAUAAAUAGCUAUCAUUUUUCUGCUGAUUUGUUGAAUCAGAAGGGAAUGGUGAAAGGGUAGGCUGAGAAGAUGAAGGAGCCUUCUGAGACAAUGGCUUCUUCAAAACUUUAGGCGCUGCGUCUUUCGUCGUCAA
RNAcentral lists this long non-coding RNA (24185 nucleotides) under Citrus maxima (pomelo). RNAcentral's name for it is "long non-coding RNA (CMAX_LNC003150)". The record is from RNAcentral. Lineage: Eukaryota; Viridiplantae; Streptophyta; Magnoliopsida; Sapindales; Rutaceae.